AUCGCCUCCCGACCCGUCAAAUAUGGGAGGUCCCGCCUGCCCUGUGAUUUAAAUUUAACGGCCGCGGUAUUUUGACCGUGCAAAGGUAGCGCAAUCACUUGUCUCUUAAAUGGAGACCUGUAUGAAUGGCAUAACGAGGGCUUAACUGUCUCCCCCUCCCGGUCAAUGAAAUUGAUCCCCCCGUGCAGAAGCGGGGAUGCUAACAUAAGACGAGAAGACCCUGUGGAGCUUUAGGCAGAAAAUAGUGCCUGUAAAGAUAGCCUGCCAGCAUUAAACAGAGGGCACCCCUAUUCACAUGCCUUUGGUUGGGGCGACCGCGGGGAACACAAAACCCCCACGUGGAAAAAGAACUUCCUCUUUAAACUAAGAGCUACAGCUCUAAGAAGCAGAAUUUCUGACCAGAAUGACCCGGCAAUUCUUCCGCCGAUCAACGAAACUAGUUACCCCAGGGAUAACAGCGCAAUCCCUUCCCAGAGCCCAUAUCGACGAAGGGGUUUACGACCUCGAUGUUGGAUCAGGACAUCCUAAUGGUGCAGCCGCUAUUAAGGGUUCGUUUGUUCAACGAUUAAAGUCCUACGUGAU
RNAcentral lists this ribosomal RNA (582 nucleotides) under Istiblennius bellus (beautiful rockskipper). Its description in RNAcentral is "partial 16S ribosomal RNA". It matches the Rfam family "Bacterial large subunit ribosomal RNA", at positions 1815 to 2604 of the family's 2925-position model. The record is from RNAcentral. Lineage: Eukaryota; Metazoa; Chordata; Actinopteri; Blenniiformes; Blenniidae.